GGAUUAAUAAGUUGAGGUUGUUUUCCUUCCCAUUGUGGCAGAUUGGAAGGAAAAACUUUGGUUUUACUCCACUAAAUCUGUUUGUUUUGGGUUACUAUAGACUUGAUUUCUCCCCUGUGAAGCUUGUUCUCUUUCCAAAACUUCUACAUGUUUGAACGGUGUUGUUACAGAGGAUAUUGUGUUGAAGAUGAUUCUCUCAUAUGCAUAAAAACUAUGACUUCACUUUCGUCUCUUUUAGCAAUCCUUGAUGCUGACAUUUUGACCAUGAUGGCCUCUGAGAUAUUAAUGUCCCUCCUUUGUGAAAUCGUCAGGAACUGUCAAACUUGGUUUAAAAUG
Molecule: long non-coding RNA, 336 nt
Filed under: Brassica napus (rape)
Lineage: Eukaryota; Viridiplantae; Streptophyta; Magnoliopsida; Brassicales; Brassicaceae
Description: long non-coding RNA (BNAP_LNC010284)
Source: RNAcentral